This 682-nucleotide ribosomal RNA is filed under the name uncultured Arcobacter sp. RNAcentral describes it as "bacterial SSU rRNA". It matches the Rfam family "Bacterial small subunit ribosomal RNA", at positions 56 to 759 of the family's 1533-position model. Lineage: Bacteria; Pseudomonadati; Campylobacterota; Epsilonproteobacteria; Campylobacterales; Arcobacteraceae. The record is from RNAcentral.
UGCAAUUCUAACGAACGGGUCUUAGCUUGCUAAGAUUGUCAGCUAAGUGGCGCGGGGAUAAUAUAUAGUUAACCUGCCCUAGAGAGAGGGAUAACGUUUGGAAACGGACGCUAACACCUCAUAUGCCUUUAAGACAAAAGUCUGCAAGGGAAACAUUUAUGGCUCUAGGAUGGGACUGUACGGUAUCAGUUAGUUGGUGAGGUAAUGGCUCACCAAGACAAUGACACCUAACUGGUUUGAGAGGAUGAUCAGUCACACUGGAACUGAGACACGGUCCAGACUCCUACGGGAGGCAGCAGUGGGGAAUAUUGCACAAUGGACGAAAGUCUGAUGCAGCAACGCCGCGUGGAGGAUGACACAUUUCGGUGCGUAAACUCCUUUUAUAUAGGAAGAUAAUGACGGUACUAUAUGAAUAAGCACCGGCUAACUCCGUGCCAGCAGCCGCGGUAAUACGGAGGGUGCAAGCGUUACUCGGAAUCACUGGGCGUAUAGAGAAUGUAGGCGGGUAAUUAAGUCAAAGUGAAAUCCAAUACUCAACCAUUUGAACUGCUUUUGAAACUGAUAACCUAGAAUAUGGGAAGUAAUGGAAUUUCUGGUGUAGGGUAAAAUCCGUAAGAUCAAAGGAAUACUUGAUUGCGAAGGCGAUUCUACUGGAUCAUUAUUUGACGCUGAUAUUCGAAAG